UACGUAGGGUGCAAGCGUUAAUCGGAAUUACUGGGCGUAAAGCGUGCGCAGGCGGUUUUGUAAGUCUGAUGUGAAAUCCCCGGGCUCAACCUGGGAAUUGCAUUGGAGACUGCAAGGCUAGAAUCUGGCAGAGGGGGGUAGAAUUCCACGUGUAGCAGUGAAAUGCGUAGAGAUGUGGAGGAACACCGAUGGCGAAGGCAGCCCCCUGGGUCAAGAUUGACGCUCAUGCACGAAAGCGUGGGGAGCAAACAGG
This 253-nucleotide ribosomal RNA is filed under the name Massilia polaris. RNAcentral describes it as "partial 16S ribosomal RNA". It matches the Rfam family "Bacterial small subunit ribosomal RNA", at positions 524 to 776 of the family's 1533-position model. RNAcentral also lists the same sequence under 2 other names. The record is from RNAcentral. Lineage: Bacteria; Pseudomonadati; Pseudomonadota; Betaproteobacteria; Burkholderiales; Oxalobacteraceae.